RNAcentral lists this small RNA (127 nucleotides) under Marmota monax (woodchuck). The record is from RNAcentral. Lineage: Eukaryota; Metazoa; Chordata; Mammalia; Rodentia; Sciuridae.
GCUGGGUGCAGGGGUGCAUGCCUGUAAUCCCAGCAACUAGGGAGGCUGAGGCAGGAGGAUCACAAGUUCAAAGCCAGCCUCAGCAACUUUGUGAGGUCCUAGGCAACUCAGUGAGACCCUGUCUCUA